Molecule: ribosomal RNA, 446 nt
Filed under: uncultured bacterium
Lineage: Bacteria
Description: bacterial SSU rRNA
Rfam family: Bacterial small subunit ribosomal RNA
Source: RNAcentral
GUAAGGAAUAUUGGUCAAUGGGCGCAAGCCUGAACCAGCCAUCCAGCGUGCAGGAAGAAGGCCCUACGGGUUGUAAACUGCUUUUGUCAGGGAAGAAACCUUUGGAUUUACUCCGAAGCUGACGGUACCUGAAGAAUAAGCACCGGCUAACUCCGUGCCAGCAGCCGCGGUAAUACGGAGGGUGCGAGCGUUAUCCGGAAUUACUGGGUUUAAAGGGUGCGUAGGCGGCUAUGUAAGUCAGGAGUGAAAGUUUGCGGCUCAACCGUAAAAUUGCUUUUGAUACUGCAUGGCUGGAAUUAGGAUGAGGUCAGCGGAAUGUGGCAUGUAGCGGUGAAAUGCAUAGAUAUGCCAUAGAACACCAAUUGCGAAGGCAGCUGGCUAGACCUGGAUUGACGCUGAGGCACGAAAGCGUGGGGAGCGAACAGGAUUAGAUACCCUAGUAGUCC